RNAcentral lists this ribosomal RNA (265 nucleotides) under uncultured archaeon. RNAcentral describes it as "partial 16S ribosomal RNA". It matches the Rfam family "Archaeal small subunit ribosomal RNA", at positions 718 to 982 of the family's 1478-position model. The record is from RNAcentral.
AGUCACUGGACAUUAGAUACCCGUGUAGUCCAGGGUGUAAACGCUGCAGACUUGGUGUUGGGGGCCCUUUGGGGGCAUUCAGUGCCGGAGAGAAGUUGUUAAGUCUGCUACUUGGGGAGUACGUCCGCAAGGAUGAAACUUAAAGGAAUUGGCGGGGGAGCACCGCAACGGGAGGAGCGUGCGGUUUAAUUGGAUUCAACACCGUAAACUCACCAGGGAAGACUGUUACAUGAAGGCCGAGAUGAAGACUCUGCUAGAUUUUCAG